RNAcentral lists this ribosomal RNA (670 nucleotides) under uncultured bacterium. Its description in RNAcentral is "bacterial SSU rRNA". It matches the Rfam family "Bacterial small subunit ribosomal RNA", at positions 48 to 704 of the family's 1533-position model. The record is from RNAcentral.
UUAACACAUGCAAGUCGCACGAAGAACGCUUUGGCUUUGCCAAAGCAAGUAAAGUGGCGAACGGGUGCGUAACGCGUAGAUAACCUGCCCACAGGCGCGGGACAACCACGGGAAACCGUGGCUAAUACCGCACGUCGUCUGGAGCCCGCAUGGGCACCAGAUGAAACCCUGCGAGGGGGCCUUUGGAUGGGUCUGCGUCGGAUUAGCUUGUUGGUGAGGUAACGGCUCACCAAGGUGACGAUCCGUAGCUGGUCUGAGAGGACGAUCAGUCACACUGGGACUGAGACACGGCCCAGACUCCUACGGGAGGCAGCAGUGGGGAAUCUUGCACAAUGGGGGAAACCCUGAUGCAGCCAUGCCGCGUGGAGGAAGACACCCCUAUGGGGCGUAAACUCCUUUUCUGAGAGAAGAAACCUCUGUAGUUUCAGAGUGUGACGGUAUCUCAAGAAUAAGCACCGGCUAACUCCGUGCCAACAGCCGCGGUAAUACGGAGGGUGCAAACGUUGUCCGGAAUCACUGGGGCGUAAAGGGUGCGCAAGCCGGGCAGCAAGUCCGAGGUGAAAGCCCAUGGCUCAACCAAUGGAGUGCCUUCGAGAACUGUUGCUCCUGAAUCUCCGAAAGGCUGUCCGAAUUCGUUGGUGUUACCGUGAAAUGCGCAGAUAUCACGAAG